RNAcentral lists this ribosomal RNA (1885 nucleotides) under human gut metagenome. RNAcentral's name for it is "bacterial LSU rRNA". It matches the Rfam family "Bacterial large subunit ribosomal RNA", at positions 3 to 1980 of the family's 2925-position model. The record is from RNAcentral.
UCAAGCUAAGAAGAGCGCAGGGCGAAUGCCUUGGCACUGGGAGCCGAAGAAGGACGCGAUAAGCUGCGAUAAGCUGCGGGGAGGAGCAAAUAUCCAUUGAUCCGCAGAUUUCCGAAUGGAGAAAUCCGUAUGGAGAAGUCCAUACAUCAUAUACUGAAUUCAUAGGUAUAUGAGGGAAACCGCCUGAACUGAAACAUCUAAGUAGGGCGAGGAAAAGAAAUCAACCGAGAUACCGCAAGUAGUGGCGAGCGAACGCGGCAGAGGCCAAACCCGUAGUAGAAAUACUAUGGGGGUUGCGGACUGCAUUUAGCAUUGUUGAUCUUUAACCGAAGGGCAUGGGAAGGCCCACCGAAGAACGUGAGAGUCGUGUAGGUGAAAAGGAGAGACAGCGAGCAGGAUCCAGAGUACCGCGGGACACGAGGAAUCCCGUGGGAAGCCGGGGGGACCACCCUCCAAGCCUAAAUACUACCCAGUGACCGAUAGCGUAUAGUACUGUGAAGGAAAGGUGAAAAGGACCCCGGGAGGGGAGUGAAAUAGAACCUGAAACCCUGUGCUUACAAGCACCGAGAGCCCGUCAAUGGGUGAUCGGGUACUUUUUGUAGAACGGUCCGGCGAGUAUAUGGAACAAGCAAGGUUAAGGUCUUCAGGACCGAAGCCGAAGGGAAACCAAGUCUUAAUAGGGCGCACAGUUUGUUUCAUAUGACCCGAAACCGGGUGACCUAUCCAUGUCCAGGUUGAAGUGGCGGUAAAACGCCAUGGAGGACCGAACCAACCCCCGUUGAAAAGGUGGUGGAUGAGGUGUGGAUAGCGGAGAAAUUCCAAUCGAACUCGGAUAUAGCUGGUUCUCCCCGAAAUAGCUUUAGGGCUAGCGUUGUGUUAGAUUACCGGAGGUAAAGCACUGAAUAGGCUAGGGGGCGAGAGUCUACCGACCCUUAUCAAACUCUGAAUGCCGGAUAAUUGAUGCACAGCAGUCAGACAGUGUGAGAUAAGUUUCAUUGUCAAAAGGGAAACAGCCCAGACCCACAGCUAAGGUCCCAAAUGUAUGUUAAGUGGAAAAGGAUGUCCAGUUGCACAAACAACCAGGAUGUUGGCUUAGAAGCAGCCACACAUUCAAAGAGUGCGUAACAGCUCACUGGUCGAGUGACCGGGCGCCGAAAAUGUAACGGGGCUAAACAUACAACCGAAGCUUGGGCUGCACAGCAAUGUGCGGGGUAGGGGAGCGUUGUGUGCGGGGAGAAGCACGAGCGGAAGCGCGUGUGGACUGCACAGAAGUGAGAAUGCCGGAAUGAGUAGCGCGAAUUAUGUGAGAAUCAUAAUGGCCGAAAGCCUAAGGUUUCUGGAGGAAGGUUCGUCCGCUCCAGGUUAGCCGGGAGCUAAGGUGAGGCCGAAAGGCGUAGCCGAUGCACAUACGGUGGAGAUUCCGUAGCCAUCAAAAGAUUUAAGCAGAGGGACACAGUAGAAGGGUACAUGCCGGGCGUUGGUAGCCCCGGUUGCAAGGGACCGAAAUUAGAGUAGGGAAGAUGGACUUGGAUACUGGCGAGAAAAGCUCUGUGGAUAUCUGCGAUGCCCGUACCGCAAACCGACACAGGUAGGUAGGAAGAGGAUUCUAAGGCCAACGGGAGAAGGGUUGUUAAGGAACUCGGCAAGUUGACCCCGUAACUUCGGGAGAAGGGGUGCUCUGGAAACAGAGCCGCAGAGAAUAGGUCCAGGCAACUGUUUAGCAAAAACACAGCUCUCUGCUAAAUCGAAAGAUGAUGUAUAGGGGGUGACGCCUGCCCGGUGCUGGAAGGUUAAGAGGAGGAGUGAGAGCCCCGAAUCGAAGCCCCAGUAAACGGCGGCCGUAACUAUAACGGUCCUAAGGUAGCGAAAUUCCUUGUCAGGUAAG